CCUACGGGUGGCAGCAGUGGGGAAUAUUGCUCAAUGGGCGAAACGCUGAUGCAGCGACGCCGCGUGAGUGAAGAAGUAGUUCGUUAUUUAAAGCUUUAUUAGUAGGGAAGAAAAUGACGGUACCUGAGUAAGAAGCCGCGGCUAACUACGUGCCAGCAGCCGGGGUAAUACGUAGGGGGCAAGCGUUAUCCGGAUUUACUGGGUGUAAAGGGAGCGUAGGCGGCAGUGCAAGUCUGGAGUGAAAGGCGGGGGCUUAACCCCCGGACUGCUCUGGAAACUGUACGGCUGGAGUGCAGGAGAGGUAAGUGGAAUGCCUAGUGUAGCGGUGAAAUGCGUAGAUAUUAGGAGGAACACCAGUGGCGAAGGCGGCUUACUGGACUGUAACUGACGUUGAGGCACGAAAGCGUGGGGAGCGAACAGGAUUAGAUACCCUAGUAGUC
Molecule: ribosomal RNA, 440 nt
Filed under: uncultured bacterium
Lineage: Bacteria
Description: partial 16S ribosomal RNA
Rfam family: Bacterial small subunit ribosomal RNA
Source: RNAcentral